RNAcentral lists this ribosomal RNA (603 nucleotides) under uncultured bacterium. RNAcentral's name for it is "bacterial SSU rRNA". It matches the Rfam family "Bacterial small subunit ribosomal RNA", at positions 338 to 950 of the family's 1533-position model. The record is from RNAcentral.
CCUACGGGAGGCAGCAGUUGGGAAUUUUGCACAAUGGACGAAAGUCUGAUGCAGCAACGCCGCGUGCGGGAUGAAGAUUUUCGGAUUGUAAACCGCUUUUAUUUGGGAGUAACUGUUUGAACGUACCAAAUGAAUAAGCACCGGCUAACUCCGUGCCAGCAGCCGCGGUAAUACGGAGGGUGCAAACGUUGUCCGGAAUUACUGGGCGUAAAGCGCAUGUAGGUGGUCUAAUAAGUGAACGAUUAAAUACCGACGCUUAACGUCGGAAAGGUUAUUCAUACUGUUAGACUCGAGGAAGACAGGGGCAGAUGGAACUUUAAGUGUAGGAGUGAUAUCCGUAGAUAUUUAAAGGAACACCAAUGGCGAAGGCAGUCUGCUGGGUCUUUUCUGACACUGAGAUGCGAAAGUGUGGGGAGCAAACGGGGAUUAGAUACCCCGGUAGUCCACACUGUAAAACCGAUGCUCACUAGUCGUUGGUAGGGUAGUCGUACCCCGUUUACCGUACCGACGACUACGACGUAGUGAGCGCCGUGGGNGGUACGACGACAGUUAAACUACAAGAAGUAGAGCGNGNGAGNGCGAAGGCGACACGAGGGAGUUAGG